UGAAUACGAGAUGCUACGGCGUCGAAGCAGUCUAUGUCAUACUUCCAAGAAAAGCUCGCACUGUCAUAAACAAAUAAUGCCUGUACCAUAACCGACACAGGUGGGUAGGUAGAGUAUACUAAGGGGCGCGAGAUAACUCUCUCUAAGGAACUCGGCAAAAUGACUCCGUAACUUCGGGAGAAGGAGUGCCUUAUUUAUAAGGUUGCAAUAACAAGAUCCAAGCAACUGUUUAUCAAAAACACAGGUCUCCGCUAAGUCGUAAGACGAUGUAUGGGGGCUGACGCCUGCCCAGUGCCAGAAGGUUAAAGAAGUUGGUUAGCAUUCGCGAAGCUGAUAACUGAAGCCCUGGUGAACGGCGGCCGUAACAAUAACGGUCCUAAGGUAGCGAAAUUCCUUGUCGGGUAAGUUCCGACCCGCACGAAGGGCGUAAUGAUUUGGAUACUGUCUCGGAGAGGGGCUCGGUGAAAUAGACUUGUCUGUGAAGAUGCGGACUACCUGCACCAGGACAGAAAGACCCUAUGAAGCUUUACUGUAACUUGAGAUUGAAAUUGGACUUUACUUGCGCAGUAUAGGUGGGAGGCGUUGAUAAUAUUCUUGCGGGAUUAUUUGAGCCAUCAGUGAGAUACCACUCUUGUAAUGUUAGAUUUCUAACUUUGUAUCAUUAUCUGGUCAAAGGACAGUUUCAGGCGGGCAGUUUGACUGGGGCGGUCGCCUCCUAAACGGUAACGGAGGCGCACAAAGGUUUCCUCUGAACGGGUAGAAAUCGUAUCUAGAGUGUAAAGGCAUAAGGAAGCUUGACUGUGAGACCUACAAGUCGAGCAGGGACGAAAGUCGGUCUUAGUGAUCUGACGGUGCUGAGUGGAAAGGCCGUCACUCAACGGAUAAAAGUUACUCUAGGGGUAACAGGCUGAUCUCCCCCAAGAGUUCACAUCGACGGGGAGGUUUGGCACCUCGAUGUCGGCUCAUCGCAUCCUGGGGCGGUAGUACGUCCCAAGGGUUGGGCUGUUCGCCCAUGAAAGCGGUACGCGAGCUGGGUUCAGAACGUCGUGAGACAGUUCGGUCCAUAUCCGGUGUAGGCGUUAGAAUAUUGAGAGGAGCCUUCUUUAGUACGAGAGGACCGAGAAGGACAUACCUCUGGUGUACCAGUUAUCGUGCCAACGGUAAACGCUGGGUAGCUAUGUAUGGAGUGGAUAACCGCUGAAAGCAUCUAAGUGGGAAGCCCACCUCAAGAUAAG
This 1235-nucleotide ribosomal RNA is filed under the name metagenome. RNAcentral's name for it is "bacterial LSU rRNA". It matches the Rfam family "Bacterial large subunit ribosomal RNA", at positions 1564 to 2808 of the family's 2925-position model. The record is from RNAcentral.